This 1287-nucleotide long non-coding RNA is filed under the name Olea europaea subsp. europaea. The record is from RNAcentral. Lineage: Eukaryota; Viridiplantae; Streptophyta; Magnoliopsida; Lamiales; Oleaceae.
CAAGUGGCAACCCCUGAAUUGGCUUAGAAGCAUUCACUUGAGUUGUGCUUCUUCAAACGUAUGCUAGACUGUUGGAUGAAAUCUAUGGUCAAGAUGGAAGCACACCAUUAUGAGACCCUUGGGACGGCUGGACUGGACUUCUCAUUAUUCUGGUUUUGCAAGAUCUCUUGAGGCUCUCUCUCUAAAUUGGACUCAUCUUUUCUUCAUUUGAUUUUCUUCGAUUCUUUUGAUCUCUUAUGAGUGAACUAGCCAGAAUAUUAGUUGAAUCUGUGGAAUUCAUGAUGCUACAGUAAUUAGGCCUGAAAUAUUGGCUGAUUUGGUGUUUGUAGUGGUUGGAAGAAAGUCAUGUUCGUAUUUUUGGUUAAGAUCUUGAGAUUUAAGAUAUCCAUGUGUGGAUCGAUGAUAAUCUCUAAGUCCGAUUGUGUUUUCCAGAUCUGUACUCUUUUUUUGGAAGGUUUUUGUGUGCUUAGUAAUUGGGUUAAUCUCUGAGCCCCCCAGAUUAGGUGAUUAUCAAAAUGGGUGAACAAUUUGUGGCAUUCUUUUUAUUUUUUUUUCUACUUUGGUUCGGAUAUUUUUACUGUUUAACAAACUGAUCAACAAAAAUAACCCCAACAACUGGUAUUAGAGCCUUCGAGGUUUUUGGGGGUGCAAGUUUUUUUUGGAUCAAAAACUGUUUGAGUCAAUUUUUCUUCGUUCAAUUUUUUCUUGGGGUUGCAAGUUUUCUGAACAAACUUUGGGUCACUGGUAUUAGAUCAUUUUUUUUUCCUAAUACAAACUAAAAGAUCUAAUUCUUGUCUCCUUUGUAUUUUUUUGGAAGGAAAAAAGCCUGGUGAAAGGUGGUAAGAUAACCACGAUCUAGUUCUAGAAAAGAGGGAUCGGAGUUCUUUCUAUCCUUGGGUUGAGACUAGCAGUAUGUUCUUCUUUACUGUUAAGACAGUAUAUGGUGAGAACAUUUUAAUUGUUUGGGGCUUCAGUAUAGUAAUUUCAAUUUUUUAUGUUUGAUAUGAGAUAUAUGCAUGUGAUACAUGGUAGAAUUGGUACUGUAAUUUGAAUUGCAUACUUUUGUUAUUGUGAGCAUGCUGUAGUAGUUAAGUUCUUGUAUAUAACCUGGUGCAAUUACUUGAUCACUAGCAUUACUCACUUUGUAUCAAAUAUCAUUGUUCUUGUUUCAAGAUUGUGUUUACAUAUCUACCUGAAUUCUUGAANCAUUCCUCUUAGGCCCUUUCAUAACUAUGAGAGAACCCUUCAUAAUUUUCAAAAUCUUGUUACCAGACUUGAAGGUAUAUC